RNAcentral lists this ribosomal RNA (253 nucleotides) under Cuneatibacter caecimuris. RNAcentral describes it as "partial 16S ribosomal RNA". It matches the Rfam family "Bacterial small subunit ribosomal RNA", at positions 524 to 776 of the family's 1533-position model. The record is from RNAcentral. RNAcentral also lists the same sequence under 1 other name. Lineage: Bacteria; Bacillati; Bacillota; Clostridia; Lachnospirales; Lachnospiraceae.
UACGUAGGGGGCAAGCGUUAUCCGGAUUUACUGGGUGUAAAGGGAGCGUAGGCGGUCUGACAAGUCAGAAGUGAAAGCCCGGGGCUCAACUCCGGGACUGCUUUUGAAACUGCCGGACUAGAUUGCAGGAGAGGUAAGUGGAAUUCCUAGUGUAGCGGUGAAAUGCGUAGAUAUUAGGAGGAACACCAGUGGCGAAGGCGGCUUACUGGACUGUAAAUGACGCUGAGGCUCGAAAGCGUGGGGAGCAAACAGG